UAUGACUUAGGGGGUUUAGACAAUAAUGUGUUUCAAUGCAUCAUCACAGUGCAAUGACUUUGAAGAAGAUCCUCCUGAUAGAUGGGCUACAUUCAUAAAAGUGUGUCAUGAUCCUUUCCUCCACUGGCCAAACCACAUCUGGAGUAAGACAUUGUAUUCCAGGCCCCAUGUCUUAUAUAUGCGAUGGGUAAACCCAGAAUGCAUUCAGGAGAUGGUGAUCGGGAAGGAGAAGUCCCUCAAAGUUGUGAGAUGUGGCUAGUAAGAUCCCAUUUAUGCUAUCAUCUGCCUUCUCACCCAAACUGGAACCCUGGUACUAAUUCUAGACUCUUUCACUUCUUUCAAUCCCUCCUGGAUCCCAGCACUGCUCUUCUUCUCCUGUGUCCCCAGCUGAGUUCUGAUGCCCACCAGGUCACCCCACACUCUACAGCAGCCCCCUUCCUCCAGGCCUGCUCACCUCCACCUGUCCUCUACAUGUCUCCUAGGGGCCAGAACAGUGCCUUCCAUACCAUGGGCACUUAAUAAAUUUGGGAAUGAAUGAAUGAUUAAACAGUGGCUGGAUAUAGGAGUGUUGAGCCCUAUACAGAAAAUGGACCCAGCUCACCAUCUGUCAUUCGCCUGGUAUCUGAACUGUAAAGCCAAGUUAGAAGAGUAGAAGAUGGUAAUAGAUAUUCUUGAGCUAUGAUUCGGAAUCAAAUCCUCAACCCCCGUCCUCAACCAGACAUCACCUCCCUGCCAGGUUCUUGAGAGAGAGAAAUACAAGAAAGACAAUUCCAGACAGGCGGGCACGUGACCAGACGCUCCAAAGCAGAGGCUUGCUGAGCCAAUACAGACGAGCUGUCAUUCACUGGCUUACUCGUCGUCAUCCCCUCAAAAGAUUCCUGUCGGCGCCUACAA
Leptonychotes weddellii (Weddell seal) is the source of this 894-nucleotide non-coding RNA. NCBI's taxonomy places the organism in Eukaryota, Metazoa, Chordata, Mammalia, Carnivora, Phocidae. The record is from RefSeq and is a predicted model, not a curated record.